GGUCUGGCUGAGUGGUCUACCGAUUUGGUAAGCUUACUGCUCAUUUUGCUGGAUUCUUUUUUACUUUUGGGAUGUCCCCUUGCCCUUUAGUGGGUGAGGGAAACAGACCAAAACUUUUACUUUGAAAAAAUUAGAGUGUUCAAAGCAGGCUUUUCUUAAGCUUGAAUAUCUUAGCAUGGAAUAAUAGAAUAGGACUUUGGUUCUAUUUUGUUGGUUUAUUGAACCAAGGUA
This 231-nucleotide ribosomal RNA is filed under the name uncultured fungus. RNAcentral describes it as "partial small subunit ribosomal RNA". The stretch from base 55 to 231 matches the Rfam family "Eukaryotic small subunit ribosomal RNA", at positions 690 to 864 of the family's 1831-position model. Lineage: Eukaryota; Fungi. The record is from RNAcentral.